GGCUUAUAUUCAGAGGUUUACGGUAUUUUCUCUAAUGCCAGACGAUUUUACUCUUCAAAGGUGAUAAUCAUAGAUAUCUAUAUUAACUAGAUAGCGCAUCUCUUUUAGUAAAAUUGAAGCCAAGAAUAGUACAGCGGUUACCCCCAUUUGAAUAGAUGGCGGCCAUGUUGGAGUUUCCCACUCGCUAAUAAACACUUAGAAAACAACAAUAACUUUCAUCAUUUGAAUAGUUUAAAAAUGUAUUUGGAAUAGGUUUAACUUCAUGUUUAAGUUCAUACAGUCUUCAAACAUACGAGUCUUCUAAUUUCAUCAGAAUAUCCUGAGUCUGCAAUCACGGCUUCAAUUUUUGAAUUGCAGAUUAAUGAGUCAUUAAUUAGAUGCACUAUCUAGUGUAUGUUAAUUAGAUGCACUAUCUAUGGUGAUAAUAUACAUACACUUCACUCAAUGGGUUAACCAGACAACUGCCCAGGCAUGUGUCUAUAAUUGCAGCCCCAUGUGCCCUACUUUUAUUUAUUUUACUUUGUCUAAUGCCAGACAGGUUUUACCUACCAAGAGGAGAGCACUGGCACUCAAUAGGGUAAGGGAUCAACAGACCAUUAGAAAAGUGAAGGAAGGUGGAAGAAUUUUUGCAAAAAUGCAAUAGUACACGUUAUGAUGGUGAAGGACUGUAUUUAUGAAUAAACGUUGACUAACGUAGAUAAUGAGAAAUAUUUAUAUUGUUAUUCUAAUUAAUUUUACAGCCGUCUUCCAUUUGUGGUAGGCUAUGGUUACGAUAGGUACACAGCUUCUAUAACUACAUGGUGUUUUUGUGUUGUCAGUGGUGUUUUUUGCCACAUGGUUGUAUGCAUUUUUCUGAAUUGUUUUGCUUGAUUCGAUUUUUUCCAUUCUGUUUCCCUGCACCCAGGGACGCCGGAACGGAGCGCCCCGUUGCCCUUUACCAGGAGGGGCAAGGGGGGCAAAGGUGCCCUUUCAAUUUAAAGGAUUGCCUUGGCGAAAUAGCGAUUGUCAGAAAUGUGAGUGCAAUUCUUUUACGAAAUUGCUUCAGAAAACGCAAGAAAUGCAGUCAUUGACCUUCAAGAAUUAGCACAAUCGCCUGGCGGAGAACCCCCUCACACCUCUAUCAUCCAAUAAAUAGAAAACAUGAUUAGGCGAAGUUCAACUCCCGAUGUUUUUUAAACAUCUCUUAGUAUAUAUCAAUUAAAAACUGCAAAUCUGCCCCCCUUGCCUUCACAUCGUUACGGCGUCCCUGCCUGCACCCAGCUUCACCUAGUUUCUAAUGGUCUGCCUCCAAUUAGAUAAAUAAAUGUACUGUAGUGUACAUAAUGAUAAUGUAUUUAUAAUAACCAUUAAUCCCCCAUUGACACUCCUUCAGAUGAGGGCCGCGGGUAUAGUGUAUAUAUAGAAAGGGUGCUAUAUACUUCGUGGCGUAACGAGGCGAAAUAUGAGUAGGCUGAAUGGGUGAUUGCAGCUAUGCCUGAUGGACGAAAUUUUGAUCUAGACAAGAAGUACGAAAUCCAACACCACACCUAGAAAGAGCAUCUUAAAAUGAGUAAAACUGCAGUUGCAAUUGCAGUUUGGUUGCGAAAUGUUUAAAAUGAGGAAAAUAUAGCUUUGUGAAAUUCGCAAAUUUUGUAAAUUUGCAUUUACGCGCGAGAAAAAUAAGCAUUUUUGAGCGGAAAGUGGUUAUUUUUACCGCGCCUAAUAAAAAUACAUACAAAAAUUUUAAAUCCAAUUGGCAAUAUGAAUUGAAUUAUUGACAAAACAACGUUAUGUUAGAAAAGAUUUCUUUCCAUGCGUGUUUUAAAAAGACUACUAUAACACAAUAAUACGGGUAAAACCUAGUUGCAAGCACAAUGGCUAAAGUUUGUUCGAGUUUUGAUAGUACAUGGUUCUCACGUAGACACCCAUCUAGGAUCAGCGUGUUACGAAAGUAUUAAAAAUAGUAUAAAAAUAGUUCAAUUUGCACCCCAGGUAACUAUAAAAUACCAGUUACGUCGAAUGGAGAGAUAAUGAGCAUUUUUGACGAAAAAUAAACAGAUAAAGUAUAUCUCAUUUCGGACGUGCGUAAAAAUGUCAAUUAUCUGUCAAUUACUCAUUAGGCAAGAUAGAUAACUCGUCAAUUUGUCAAAGAUGGACGAUAACCUUGCAUGGUGGGCUGUUGUGUUUACAUAAUUCAAAGUCCAAGGCUGGUUCUUCUCUGACAUGAAAAUGUGUAUGCUUAGGGCCUUUCUGUCAAUCAUUCUUCGGUAUAUUUCGCGCGGUUGAGUAAUGAUAACAUUACGUCAUCAAAAUCUUGGUUCAAUAAAAUUGUAAGUGAAUUUAGGU
Molecule: non-coding RNA, 2325 nt
Organism: Paramuricea clavata
Lineage: Eukaryota; Metazoa; Cnidaria; Anthozoa; Malacalcyonacea; Plexauridae
Source: the annotation of a GenBank genome assembly